ACAGGUGCGCAGCCGCGGGGCGCAGUGGGGCUGCGCGCGGGCGCUCGCGGCCGGCUGGAGGUGCCUGGCGAUCGGCCCCGCUCGAGCGGGGGACACUCACCGAGCGGCUGGAGAGUCUUUUCCGGGAGCUCCGGCUGAACAUGGCCGGACGCCUCCUGCUCGCAGCGCCGUCCGUCGGCAAUACAGUUACUAAAGGAACUUGAAGAGAUCCUCAUACACAAUUGUCAACAUGGGAAGACGCCUUUGCUAUAAUGUAAGGUGGAAAAACAAAACCCGAAUAGACUGCCUGUAAUUGCUCCUAAAAUAUGCAUCAAGAAACUGGAAAGAAAUACACAACACGAUAAAAUUCUACUGUUUGCAGAAUACAUUCAAAAGUAUUAUAUUGGGACUCCAAGACUCACAGUGAGGUCAGAAAAGGAAACAAACACUCGCUGAAGCUGUGUGACUUCCCCGACAGGUAUGCUGAGUGCUCCACUGGAUUGUCUGAAUCUGACCUGCAGACAAGAAAAGAGAAGGUGAAGAGUCAGUGAGAGUGAUGGACAUAUUUUCCCCAAAUUUCA
This 560-nucleotide long non-coding RNA is filed under the name Pongo abelii (Sumatran orangutan). Its description in RNAcentral is "lincRNA". Lineage: Eukaryota; Metazoa; Chordata; Mammalia; Primates; Hominidae. The record is from RNAcentral.